This is a non-coding RNA of Carassius auratus (goldfish), 1285 nucleotides long. The record is from RefSeq and is a predicted model, not a curated record. NCBI's taxonomy places the organism in Eukaryota, Metazoa, Chordata, Actinopteri, Cypriniformes, Cyprinidae.
UGUAUCGUCCUUGAAUUUCCGGGUCCAGUUAGAGCAGGACUGUGCGGGAUGGAAAUGCGGUGUUUGUGUAUUUUGCUGGUCUGUGUGCUGUCACUGAAUCACGCCACAGCCGACAAUGGCAGCGUUAAAAAGAUGAAAAUGCAAUACACAGGGAUGCCACUGCUGAAAUUUCAGUUUUGUGUGUCCUGAGGGUACAGGCGGGUGUUUGAGGAGUACACUCGGGUUCUCACCCAGAGGUACCCAGACAUCCGCAUCGAGGGAGAAAACUUCCUGCCACACCCCAUAUAUAGACACAUAGCUUCCUUCUUUUCUGUCUUCAAACUUGCCAUGAUUGGUUUAAUUAUCCUGGGAAAAGACCCUUUUACAUUUUUCCACAUGGAGACUCCAGGAAUCUGGAUUUGGGCGAAAGAGAAUAAGAUAUAUGCCUGCAUGAUGGUGUUCUUCCUCAGCAACAUGAUUGAAAACCAGUGUAUGUCCACCGGCGCCUUUGAAAUCACACUUAACGAUGUUCCCGUGUGGUCCAAGCUGCAGGCGGGACACCUGCCCUCCAUGCAGCAGCUGGUGCAGAUUCUGGAGAAUGAGAUGAAGCUGAGUGCACACAUGGACUCUCUGACUCACAGACGGGCGUAGAGGUGUGUGAUGCGAGGCAUUGGUGUGUGAGAGGGCAUUAAUGAAGGUUUGCACUGAACGCAGUGUGUCUGCUGGUGCAGACUGGAUGUCCAGCCUUCUCUCACUGCUCCAAGGGUCUCUCUGUAUCCACAGCCCUGCGGUCCUCGGCUAAUAAUUAUGGAGGAAAUGGAAGGUUUCAUCUGCAGAUAUUCCGUUGUCAUCGACCAAUAAACACACAUGCUGUUAAAUGGGUUUAAAAUUGGUGUUGAACAGUGUUUAUCUGUUUUGGGGGGCAUGCAGUAGACUGCUGUAUUAAUUAAAUCAGUUUUCAGAUUUGUAUUUUCAAACUCUUUGUAUUAUAUGCAGAACUACAGUUCUGUUGUUGAUUUCUCUCUCUCGAUUUCUUUACACUUUCGUCUUUCUUCAUAUGAUCUUGAGCCAAUUUAUUAAUUCCACCGUUAAUGCUAAUUUUCAAAGUAUGUUUUAGUCAACGGUAUUCGUUAAGAAAUAUAAACAGUUCUGUAAAUGUAUUCAGUAACUAAAUAUGUACAUAUCAUCAAGGAUGUACUUUGAUACAUUUUGAUUUCUGAUCAUUUUUAAUAUUCGUUUAUACUCCGUUAUGAAUAAAUUCUGUCAAUGGAUGUGUAAAUAAAUGGUGUCUUUUGUCAUAGAAAAA